GAUGAAGAACGUAGUGAAAUGCGAUAAGUAAUGCGAAUUGCAGAAUUCAGUGAAUCAUCGAAUCUUUGAACGCACCUUGCGCCCUUUGGCCAUUCCGAAGGGCAUGCCUGUUUGAGUAUCAUGAACACCUCAACUCUUCAUGGUUUUCUAUGAUGAGCUUGGACUUUGGGGGUCUUGCUGGCCUGUGGGUCGGCUCCUCUCAAAUGAAUCAGCUUGCCGGUUUUUGGUGGGCAUCACAGGUGUGAUAACUAUCUACGCUUGUGGUUUUCCACCAGGGUAACCUUCAGCAGUGGAGGUUCACUGGAGCUUACAAAUGUCUCUCCUCUGUGAGGACAGCCCUUUGAAUGUUUGAUCUCAAAUCAGGUAGGACUACCCGCUGAACUUAAGCAUAUCAAUAAGCGGAGGA
Molecule: unclassified non-coding RNA, 406 nt
Filed under: soil metagenome
Description: partial contains 5.8S ribosomal RNA, internal transcribed spacer 2, and large subunit ribosomal RNA
Rfam family: 5.8S ribosomal RNA (bases 1-121)
Source: RNAcentral